This is a long non-coding RNA of Coregonus clupeaformis (lake whitefish), 543 nucleotides long. RefSeq lists it as uncharacterized. The record is from RefSeq and is a predicted model, not a curated record. The transcript is spliced from 3 exons. NCBI's taxonomy places the organism in Eukaryota, Metazoa, Chordata, Actinopteri, Salmoniformes, Salmonidae.
CUGCCAACGAAGCAAACCCUGUUUAAAUCUGUAAGACACCAGCCUGCUGUUCGUCUCUGGAUCAACAAUAACAACAGCAGUGCCAGGGAGGCAUUAUAAUUUGGAUGGACGGUAUACUGAGGAACCCUUGUUUUGCAGGGAGGGAGGAAUGUGACUUGACUGAUUAUGCUACAGAGGCGUUAAAGUUAUAGCUCUCCUGUGUCCUGCUCCCAGAGAUCAACCAACUUCUAUUCACCAAGCAUUGGCUGAUUCCCUCACCUGUGAGGAGAACCAUCCUUCUGCAGUUUGAACUAGCCCUGCUGUCACUAUUUAGACAUUUGGACCACAUAUGCAUUUACAUUUGCCUGUUGUCUUUUCUUUGUGGAUAUUGUGUUACACAGUCUAGUGCAUUUUAGAGUUGAAGAACACCCACUACAGAUACACGUGCUUGUUAGAGCAUCUUCAUUCGUUAGUCUCUCACCUUUGUUUCCCAUGAUCUACUCACCAAGCCCUGCAGUUUGAACUAGCCCUGCCGUCACUAUUUACAGUGCCUUCAGAAAGUAU